AGUCAAGGGAACCUGUUUAUGGUUGAAGAGAUAUGAGAGGAGAUAUGAACAUAUGCAUGAGAAAAUCUAACAGAGAGUUGUUGUGAACUGAGAAAGUUUUAUUGAUACUGGAAAUGUUACAACCUGAGACUACAAACUAAGAGAUGAAGUUUAUAAGAGAGUGAGAGUGACAGGACCCACCCCGAAUUUCACCCUGAAACCCAAGGUAAAUCUUGCGGCAUAACCUUUCUUGAAAAUGGACAACCCUUACAUGAAAAAUCCAACUUAACACUUCUAUAACCUAACAAACCAGCCUCAACACCUGGAGCCUUCCUGCUCCCCAAGAUCGACACAUCUCCCAAUAUAACAAUUACUCAACUCUAAUAAUCCCACAACCAAGAAUAAGGACUAUUAAUAAUUUACUAUUGGACUUUCAGAACAUAUCUAAAGUUGAACGAAAAACAACGAAUAAAGAAUAUGCGGAAGCAGCCUCUGACUAUGCCUCAACUCCAUGUACGCUCGACCUCCUUUAAAACUUAGCCUGCACACUGGGCAUUUGAAACCGAAGAGCCCAGGAAAAAGUAAUAUAAAAACGUUAGAGUGAGUGGACGAAAAAUUAAACAAAUAACUGAUCGCAACAUAACUAACCAAACUUAAUUACUUUCCCAUUUUCCAAUAAUCAAGAAAUCUGUUGCAUGCAAGUGUUGGUAAAACUUUCAUAAAGAAAAUUCCAAGGAAACGGACUAGCCUCGCUAGUCAAAUAUUGAAAAAGAUAAAUAACAACCUUUAUUGAAGAAAAUACCAAAAUAAUGGACUAGCCCCGCUAGACAAAACAACAAUAAACAAUAAACAGAUAUAGCCAUACAAGUGAGCCUCCCAGACAUGGUUGCCUCCCAGGCAAAGUACUCCCAUACUCCCUAUACCUUCAUGUUAUGAUAACAGAGAGGGUGUAGGGCUUGCGUGAUGUCGUCGACUACAUCACAUCACCCGAAGGCGGAAAGGGCUUGAGUAACCCCACUUAAAACGUGGAAGGUACAUCGCCUCGAAAGACGGAACAACAUGCUAGCAUGAAUAAUAACGAUCCAACAAGUAUGGCAUAAAUAAAGAAACAUAAAUCCAUGUGAGUUUCCCCGAAACUCAUAAUUAAAGCAUAAUACGAUUCCCAACCGUACUCAAAGAAUUCAAAAAGUAAAGAAAAUAAUUAAAUUCGAUGACGUGUCCCACACGUUAAAAUGCUCAAUGAAAUAAUUAAUUUAAAUAAUUUUCACCUUUCGAAAACCCGGCAAUAUGCAAAUUUGGAUAUAAUCUCAAAUCCGGAAAUCAUAAAGUAAAUCCAAACUCAAAUCUCAAAUUAUCAAUCUGAGCUCAAAUCCAUAAAUUAUGACCAACAUUUAAUCCAUGCAUCAAUCUCAAAUAAUUUCCAAGAUCAUUUCAUAUGCCGAAGUUAUAAUAUAUGCUCGGAAAAUAAAAUAUUAAUUUAUAAAAUCUUGCAUGCAUAUUAAUUAAAAACCAAAAUGUCCACUCACAGAUUUAGGCCUAAGCCUGACGAAUUCCGAAUCACCACUCAAGCGUGGUCUCCUCGAAUCCUGGCACAACAACCAUGUUUAGGACUAAACUUCAAUUCCGGAAAAUAAUUACGUGAAUAAAAAUAUCUAACUCUCUUCCGUUUAACCCACUACUCUUAUUAGGGUUAAACUCACCGGAUUCACAUCAAACUCCACCACAACCUCAAAUCAUCAAUUCUAACAUUCCAGGCUAAAUACCAAGGAAAUUUAACGGCCGGAUUUUCAUUCUAAUAACCGGCAAAAUCCUUAAUCUUUUAAAAAUCCCAAACCUUAUCAAAACUCCUCCAAAAAUUCCAAACUAUAUUUCAUUAAACUCCUCUCAUUAUAACAAACCUGAAAAUCAACCUCCAAGUGGCGGCGCCGCCGCCUGCCCCGACGUCGACCAAUGCCUCCCAAAUUUUAACAGAAUAAUCCUCUCAUCAUGCACAACAACUUCCAUAACUAGCACUUAGUCCAAUUCUAAGCCUAACUAGGGUAAUCGAAUCAAAACAUCUAAAAAUCCCCCAAUUCAAACCCUAGCUCGAAAAUCCUCCUACACACUUCGAAUUGGAUCAUUACCUUCUAGGGAAAUGUUACACAUGGAGAGCACUUCCCAAUGGAACUGAAAUCACUGGAAAUGGUGGCCGGAGGAGCGAGUUCCGACGUCGGGACUCCACCACGCAGCCGGAGCUUCCGGGCGAGCUCUCUCCCUCACGGUGGCGCUAGGGCAGCUCUCACCGGUCCAGGAAGAAGGCUAGGUCGACGGCCGACCGUUUGGGACAGUGCGCCGGUCUAUGGUGGCCGGACGGCGGUUAUCGGAGCCGAGGAAUCCGGUCAGGGUAGGCUCGGGAGAGAGAGAGAGAGAGAGAGAGAGAGAGAGAGAGAGAGAGAGAGAGAGAGAGAGAGAGAGAGAGAANNNNNNNNNNNNNNNNNNNNGAGAGAGAGAGAGAGAAAAUGAGUUGGGCCUUUUGAGCCCAUUUUUGACCCGGUCCACCAUUUAAAAUCCCACUCCAACAAUAAAACACCUCCAAAAAUAAUACCUACUAAAACAAUUAACCUCUCUUAAUUUACCAAACAAGGUCUACUCUUUUUAUCUAAUAACUUUUUUAUGCUAACUCCGAUUUCAACGUUUAGCAUGUCUACGAACUCGUAUUAACGUCCUCUACAACUUUCAUGAAGAAAGUUUUCCCAAAUUCCAAACGAAAGAAAAAGUCAACUUUUAGAGUCUUAAAUAGUAAACGGUUACUUAAAACAGUAAAAGGUCAAAGUAACCCAAAAGUAAAUAACCGCAAAUUGACUUAAGAACCGGGAUGUGACAGACAGGUACUGAGAUUUUUUCUUCUCUAAGCGUAAUAUCUCUUCUCUUCACUUUGCUUCUAAUACUAGAUGAAGCUGAGUUUUCAAAUUCCACUGCGUAUAUGUACGUGGAUGCAGCAUGCAAUCUCAUGCAAACUCUCAUGCUUAGUGAAACGAUUCUCAUGCUCAGGUACAAACUCUCACAAUGAUAUUAAAAUCCUUACAAACUCUUAUGUAGAAGAGACGAAGUCCUUGGUCAACACGUCUUUUUCGUCACUUGGAGACUCACACAACUACCUCCUUUUACCCCAUUAUGCACUAACCAGUUUGUAUGUUAUACCGACUUGUAUAGCAGAACUAUC
RNAcentral lists this long non-coding RNA (3181 nucleotides) under Fragaria vesca (wild strawberry). RNAcentral's name for it is "long non-coding RNA (FVES_LNC002899)". The record is from RNAcentral. Lineage: Eukaryota; Viridiplantae; Streptophyta; Magnoliopsida; Rosales; Rosaceae.